Molecule: ribosomal RNA, 349 nt
Filed under: Hymenopus coronatus
Lineage: Eukaryota; Metazoa; Arthropoda; Insecta; Mantodea; Hymenopodidae
Description: partial 12S ribosomal RNA
Source: RNAcentral
AUUAUUUUUAUUGUAAAUUUUUAUACUAGAGUAUUAAUAGAUAUGAUCUUUAAACUUAGAGAAUUUGACGGUUUUAUAGUCUAUUUAGAGGAAUCUGUUAUGUAAUCGAUAAUCCACGUUGAACCUUACUUAUGUUAAGUUUUUGUAUACCGCUGUUUAAGAAAAUACUUUCAGGUAAUUUUCUGGAAAUGUUAUUAAUUAAUAUUUCAAGUCAAGGUGCAGUUAUAUAUAAGUUGAAUAAUGGAUUACAAUAAAUUUUAUUUAUAAUAUGGAUUAUUAUUGAAACUAUAAUUUGAAGGUGGAUUUAAUUGUAAUUUUAUGAAGAUWAAYDNANUGAUNCAUASCYCUA